Long non-coding RNA from Coregonus clupeaformis (lake whitefish), 438 nucleotides. RefSeq lists it as uncharacterized. The transcript is spliced from 3 exons. The record is from RefSeq and is a predicted model, not a curated record. NCBI's taxonomy places the organism in Eukaryota, Metazoa, Chordata, Actinopteri, Salmoniformes, Salmonidae.
UCUAAAAUCCCACUAUGUGAGACAGUCUAGGGUACUAUUUGCCCAAAGAGGGGAAGUAUAGCUCAUCGCAAUACGGCUGUACUUAUGAUUCUAAUUCUCAAGAGGAAAGUUAAAACCCUCAGCCGUGAGGUCACUGAGGAGGACAAACAGUGGUAGGGGAAUCGUCUGAAAGGGACUGACAUGCAAGGAUGGAACAUAAGGAUUUUGGGCACUUGCCAGCAGACCACGAUUUCCACUAGCCUGGGUGGCAAAGCUAAAAUGGAAGAAGAAAAGACAGAUUGGAUCCUGAAAAAGUGACCGCAAAAAUUGAUGCUGUCAUGAAGCGCUUCCCGGGUGCAACAAAGGGACAAGUGAAAACGGCUUAAAACAGUAAAAUGACUGAAUUGAGAAGCGAUGAGAGAAAAAGAAAAUGAAUAGGAUUAAAUAAAUGUUUUUGUG